Alligator mississippiensis (American alligator) is the source of this 410-nucleotide long non-coding RNA. RefSeq lists it as uncharacterized. Lineage: Eukaryota; Metazoa; Chordata; Crocodylia; Alligatoridae. The transcript has 2 exons. The record is from RefSeq and is a predicted model, not a curated record.
GCUGCUCCACUCAGACGUAACCCUUCUGGUGCUCCCCGUUCCAGGCUUCCACCAUGCCGCUCCUGAAGACAUAUUAAUAACAAAGAUCCUGGGGAUACAGCGGGGCAGCCUACACUGCAAAUUGGAGCUGCCUCCAUACUGCUUUACUGAUGCCAGCUGGAACAGCCUCCAGGAACUGUCCUGCUAAACAAGGAUUGCAGGAGUGCGCUGCACUCUGGCUCACCCCAUCAUGGUCCUGAUGCAGCCUGAAGCUGGUGGGGAGGAAACAGGUGGCAAGUACCUAGCAGUGCUGUCAGCUGUCAUGAUUUUCCUGCCAGUGUUGCAGUUUGUGGGCUUCUGUUUAAAAUUCCAGUUCCCGUAAUAUAGGAGAAUCUCACUUUUCAGUUAAUAAAAAAAGCACCUGUCUCUUC